Molecule: ribosomal RNA, 492 nt
Filed under: uncultured bacterium
Lineage: Bacteria
Description: partial 16S ribosomal RNA
Rfam family: Bacterial small subunit ribosomal RNA
Source: RNAcentral
AGUGAACGCUGGCGGUAGGCCUAACACAUGCAAGUCGAACGGCAGCACAGUAAGAGCUUGCUCUACGGGUUGCCAGGUGCCGGAGGGUGAAGAAAACCAUCGGAUUUUAUUUUUUGGGGGGGAUUAAGGAGGGGAACUUUACCCAAUAACGCAAACCACCCACCGGUGAAAACCAGGGAUCUUUCGACCUUGCCCCAUUUCAUGAGCCCGAUGUGGGAUUAGCUAGUUGGCGGGGUAAAGGCCCACCAAGGCGACGAUCCGUAGCUGGUCUGAGAGGAUGAUCAGCCACACUGGAACUGAGACACGGUCCAGACUCCUACGGGAGGCAGCAGUGGGGAAUAUUGGACAAUGGGCGCAAGCCUGAUCCAGCCAUACCGCGUGGGUGAAGAAGGCCUUCGGGUUGUAAAGCCCUUUUGUUGGGAAAGAAAAGCAGCAGGUUAAUACCCCGCUGUUCUGACGGUACCCAAAGAAUAAGCACCGGCUAACUUCGUG